GACGAACGCUGGCGGCGUGCUUAACACAUGCAAGUCGAACGGAAAGGCCCUGCUUUUGUGGGGUGCUCGAGUGGCGAACGGGUGAGUAACACGUGAGUAACCUGCCCUUGACUUUGGGAUAACUUCAGGAAACUGGGGCUAAUACCGGAUAGGAGCUCCUGCUGCACGGUGGGGGUUGGAAAGUUUCGGCGGUUGGGGAUGAAUUUGCGGCUUAUCAGCCUGUUGGUGGGGUAGUGGCUUACAACGGCUUUGACGGCUAGCCGGCCUGAGAGGGUCACCGGCCACAUAGGGACUGAGAUACGGCCCAGACUCCUACGGGAGGCAGCGGUGGGAAAUAUUGCACAAUGGGCGGAAGCCUGAUGCAGCAACGCAGCGUGCGGGAUGACGGCAUUCGGGUUGUAAACCGCUUUCGCCUGUGACGAAGCGUGAGUGACGGUAAUGGGUAAAGAAGCACCGGCGAACUACGUG
Molecule: ribosomal RNA, 468 nt
Filed under: uncultured bacterium
Lineage: Bacteria
Description: partial 16S ribosomal RNA
Rfam family: Bacterial small subunit ribosomal RNA
Source: RNAcentral